GCUUAACACAUGCAAGUCGAACGGAAAGGCCCUGCUUUUGUGGGGUGCUCGAGUGGCGAACGGGUGAGUAACACGUGAGUAACCUGCCCUUGACUUUGGGAUAACUUCAGGAAACUGGGGCUAAUACCGGAUAGGAGCUCCUGCUGCAUGGUGGGGGUUGGAAAGUUUCGGCGGUUGGGGAUGGACUCGCGGCUUAUCAGCUUGUUGGUGGGGUAGUGGCUUACCAAGGCUUUGACGGGUAGCCGGCCUGAGAGGGUGACCGGCCACAUUGGGACUGAGAUACGGCCCAGACUCCUACGGGAGGCAGCAGUGGGGAAUAUUGCACAAUGGGCGGAAGCCUGAUGCAGCAACGCCGCGUGCGGGAUGACGGCCUUCGGGUUGUAAACCGCUUUCGCCUGUGACGAAGCGUGAGUGACGGUAAUGGGUAAAGAAGCACCGGCUAACUACGUGCCAGCAGCCGCGGUGAUACGUAGGGUGCGAGCGUUGUCCGGAUUUAUUGGGCGUAAAGGGCUCGUAGGUGGUUGAUCGCGUCGGAAGUGUAAUCUUGGGGCUUAACCCUGAGCGUGCUUUCGAUACGGGUUGACUUGAGGAAGGUAGGGGAGAAUGGAAUUCCUGGUGGAGCGGUGGAAUGCGCAGAUAUCAGGAGGAACACCAGUGGCGAAGGCGGUUCUCUGGGCCUUUCCUGACGCUGAGGAGCGAAAGCGUGGGGAGCGAACAGGCUUAGAUACCCUGGUAGUCCACGCUGUAAACGGUGGGUACUAGGUGUGGGGUCCAUUCCACGGGUUCCGUGCCGUAGCUAACGCUUUAAGUACCCCGCCUGGGGAGUACGGCCGCAAGGCUAAAACUCAAAGGAAUUGACGGGGCCCCGCACAAGCGGCGGAGCAUGCGGAUUAAUUCGAUGCAACGCGUAGAACCUUACCUGGGUUUGACAUGGAUCGGGAGUGCUCAGAGAUGGGUGUGCCUCUUUUGGGGUCGGUUCACAGGUGGUGCAUGGCUGUCGUCAGCUCGUGUCGUGAGAUGUUGGGUUAAGUCCCGCAACGAGCGCAACCCUUGUUCACUGUUGCCAGCACGUUAUGGUGGGGACUCAGUGGAGACCGCCGGGGUCAACUCGGAGGAAGGUGGGGAUGACGUCAAGUCAUCAUGCCCCUUAUGUCCAGGGCUUCACGCAUGCUACAAUGGCUGGUACAGAGAGUGGCGAGCCUGUGAGGGUGAGCGAAUCUCGGAAAGCCGGUCUCAGUUCGGAUUGGGGUCUGCAACUCGACCUCAUGAAGUCGGAGUCGCUAGUAAUCGCAGAUCAGCAACGCUGCGGUGAAUACGUUCCCGGGGCUUGUACACACCGCCCGUCAAGUCAUGAAAGUUGGUAACACCCGAAGCCGGUGGCCUAACCGUUGUGGGGGAGCCGUCGAAGGUGGGACUGGUGAUUAGGACUAAAUGG
Molecule: ribosomal RNA, 1435 nt
Filed under: uncultured organism
Description: partial small subunit ribosomal RNA
Rfam family: Bacterial small subunit ribosomal RNA
Source: RNAcentral